Molecule: ribosomal RNA, 502 nt
Filed under: uncultured Glomeromycotina
Lineage: Eukaryota; Fungi; Glomeromycota
Description: partial small subunit ribosomal RNA
Rfam family: Eukaryotic small subunit ribosomal RNA
Source: RNAcentral
CCAAUAGCGUAUAUUAAAGUUGUUGCAGUUAAAAAGCUCGUAGUUGAACCUCGGGGUCUACCCAUUGGUCAGGCUUAAUUGUCUGCACUGGUGAGAUGGAUCUCUACCUUCUGAGGAACUUUCAUGCCAUUUAUUUGGUGUGAUGGGAAAUCAGGACUGUUACUUUGAAAAAAUUAGAGUGUUUAAAGCAGACUAUCGUCUGAAUACAUUAGCAUGGAAUAAUGAAAUAGGACGGACUGAUUCUAUUUCGUUGGUUUCUAGGAUCACCGUAAUGAUUAAUAGGGAUAGUUGGGGGCAUUAGUAUUCAAUUGUCAGAGGUGAAAUUCUUGGAUUUAUUGAAGACUAACUACUGCGAAAGCAUUUGCAAAGGAUGUUUUCAUUAAUCAAGAACGAAAGUUAGGGGAUCGAAGACGAUCAGAUACCGUCGUAGUCUUAACCAUAAACUAUGCCGACUAGGGAUCGGACGAAGUUAAUUUUAUAAUGACGCGUUCGGCACCUUACG